Molecule: long non-coding RNA, 1485 nt
Filed under: Homo sapiens (human)
Lineage: Eukaryota; Metazoa; Chordata; Mammalia; Primates; Hominidae
Description: non-protein coding LINC01007:4
Source: RNAcentral
GGCCAUAUGACUAGUGCUGCCCAAUGGACUGUGAACAGAAAUGACAGCAUCACUCGCAUGGAGACUCCUCCAUCUCUGUCUUCCCUGUUGUGACAGUCUCAGAGCCUACGUUCUUUCAAUGGCUGGGCUACAAGAUGGUGACAGGCUGCCCAACCUGACACAGCAAGAAGGCGGCCAUCUGCAAACCAGAAAGAGAGCCCUCACCAGGAACCGGAUCUGCUGGCACCUUGAUCUUGGACUUCCUAUCCUUUAGAGCUGUGAGAAAUGUCGCCCCCAGGUCAAUGGGAUAUUUGUUACAGCACCAGGUACUGCCUGAGAACUCUACCUUUAGGGAGCCUGCGUGCUGGGUCACUGGGGAGACAAUGAAGGUGCUUGACACCCAGUUUGAAUAUUGUGUCACUGCAAAGCUGACUGCUGUUGAAGGAUAGCCAGUGAGAGGUCAUGGCAAGCCAUCAGAAGAAGCAGAAGUCAUGAGCAUGCUGAAGCUAUGAGGCCAAGACAAAAUGUCACAUUGCCACAAGAAGAGGGACAAACAGGCAACAGGCAGAGCCCAUGGGAAUCAGUAAUCUCCUGCUGACACUGAGGCCUUGGGACUAACUCAGAUCCAGUACUACUCUCUUGGGACCUGUUCUGACUCCAGCUCCUGUCCUUGGGGUCCACUGAGAUCCCUGUAGCCUUGUAAUAAGCCCACAUUAUCAUAUUUCCCCUGCCGGCUCCACCCUAGAGCAUUUCCAACAAUUUCCAGUGCUUUUCCCCUUCUCAUACCACUGGGCCUUUGCACGUGCUCGUGCCUCCCCAACUUGCCCUGCCUUCUCCUUCACCCAGACAACUCCUACUAAAUCUCUCAGACUCCUCAGCUGUGUCCCUUCCUAGGGGAGGACUCUCUUCCCUCCAGUGAGCCCGGUGGUCCUCCCUGGGAUCCCCUGCUCCUUGUCUUCCCUGCCGUCCUUACUGCCAUCCUUGUUCUCUACUCAGAAGGAGGCAGAGGCUGGCCUGCCCCCAAUCCCCUGUAGACUGACCAGAUGAAUUGACCUGGGCUGGGCAGGGCAGGCGUGUUUGACCAGUUGUCUGGGCACCCCAUGGCUCAGUCAAGUUGACACAUAAAGUUCACCGCCCCAGGGCCCCUUCGUUGUAUUUGUGUAUGAAUAAAACACAGCAUCCACUCCAGGUAUCUGAGGGUCCUGGAGGCAGGUUUUGUGAUCCCUUUUUACAGAUGAGGAUGCGGAGGUCCAGUUGUCACUCACCCAGAUCACACUCUCAUCUGCUGAUGGGAGGAGUAUUUGAUGGGAUGUGUGAGCCCGGCCGUCUCCCUUGGGACACAUCAGCUCAUUAAAUUUGCCAGCCCCUGCCUGAAAAAGUAUUUAAUUUGCCUUUUACAAUGCACCCAUUGCAAGUUAAUUAACUGGCAAUUGAAAGUUAUAGGUGGCAUUAGAAUUUAUUAAUAACAUUGGGAAUAAAUCUCCCUGGAAUUCAAUUAACUGAAAA